CUCUUAUUCAGAAUGGUGGAGUCAUAAGGGACUAUGAAGCCAUGGCAACCCCGGAACAGGUGAAAGAAAGACCUGUAUGGAAGGUGCCUUCCUGAGCGAGUCUGUGAUAUGCAGACGUCGAACAAUGAGAG
Molecule: non-coding RNA, 131 nt
Filed under: Clostridium sp.
Lineage: Bacteria; Bacillati; Bacillota; Clostridia; Eubacteriales; Clostridiaceae
Description: SAM-I sequence
Rfam family: SAM riboswitch aptamer (S box leader)
About the family: The SAM riboswitch is found upstream of a number of genes which code for proteins involved in methionine or cysteine biosynthesis in Gram-positive bacteria. The SAM riboswitch acts at the level of transcription termination control. The predicted structure consists of a complex stem-loop region followed by a single stem loop terminator region.
Source: RNAcentral